Molecule: transfer RNA, 62 nt
Filed under: Caryophyllaeus laticeps
Lineage: Eukaryota; Metazoa; Platyhelminthes; Cestoda; Caryophyllidea; Caryophyllaeidae
Description: tRNA-Pro
Source: RNAcentral
CAGGUUGUAGUUUAAGUUUAGAAUUGGGGUUUUGGGGACCUCAGGUUCGUAAGGUAAUCUGG